This 256-nucleotide ribosomal RNA is filed under the name uncultured Gardnerella sp. RNAcentral's name for it is "partial 16S ribosomal RNA". It matches the Rfam family "Bacterial small subunit ribosomal RNA", at positions 99 to 354 of the family's 1533-position model. Lineage: Bacteria; Bacillati; Actinomycetota; Actinomycetes; Bifidobacteriales; Bifidobacteriaceae. The record is from RNAcentral.
CGAACGGGUGAGUAAUGCGUGACCAACCUGCCCCAUGCUCCAGAAUAGCUCUUGGAAACGGGUGGUAAUGCCGGAUGCUCCAACUUGACGCAUGUCUUGUUGGGAAAGUGUUUAGUGGCAUGGGAUGGGGUCGCGUCCUAUCAGCUUGUAGGCGGGGUAAUGGCCCACCUAGGCUUCGACGGGUAGCCGGCCUGAGAGGGCGGACGGCCACAUUGGGACUGAGAUACGGCCCAGACUCCUACGGGAGGCAGCAGGC